RNAcentral lists this ribosomal RNA (1314 nucleotides) under uncultured bacterium. RNAcentral describes it as "bacterial SSU rRNA". It matches the Rfam family "Bacterial small subunit ribosomal RNA", at positions 63 to 1381 of the family's 1533-position model. The record is from RNAcentral.
CGAACGAUCGAAGCCCACCUCUGCUGGGUGGAUUAGUGGCGAACGGGUGAGUAACACGUGAGUAACCUGCCCUUGACUCUGGGAUAAGCCUGGGAAACUGGGUCUAAUACUGGAUAUGACUUCUCACCGCAUGGUGGGGGGUGGAAAGAUUUAUUGGUCUUGGAUGGACUCGCGGCCUAUCAGCUUGUUGGUGAGGUAAUGGCUCACCAAGGCGACGACGGGUAGCCGGCCUGAGAGGGUGACCGGCCACACUGGGACUGAGACACGGCCCACACUCCUACGGGAGGCAGCAGUGGGGAAUAUUGCACAAUGGGCGCAAGCCUGAUGCAGCGACGCCGCGUGAGGGAUGACGGCCUUCGGGUUGUAAACCUCUUUCAGUAGGGAAGAAGCGAAAGUGACGGUACCUGCAGAAUAAGCGCCGGCUAACUACGUGCCAGCAGCCACGGUAAUACGUAGGGCGCGAGCGGUUAUCCGGAAUUAUUGGGCGUAAAGAGCCUCGUAGGCGGUUUGUCCGCGUCUGCCGUGAAAGUCCGGGGCUUAACCCCCGGAUCUGCGGUGGGUACGGGCAGACUAGAGUGCAGUAUGGGAGACUGGAAUUCCUGGUGUAGCGGUGAAAUGCGCAUAUAUCAGGAGGAACACCGAUGGCGAAGGCAGGUCUCUGGGCUGUAACUGACGCUGAGGAGCGAAAGCAUGGGGAGCGAACAGGAUUAGAUACCCUGGUAGUCCAUGCCGUAAACGUUGGGCACUAGGUGUGGGGGACAUUCCACGUUUUCCGCGCCGUAGCUAACGCAUUAAGUGCCCCGCCUGGGGAGUACGGCCGCAAGGCUAAAACUCAAAGGAAUUGACGGGGGCCCGCACAAGCGGCGGAGCAUGCGGAUUAAUUCGAUGCAACGCGAAGAACCUUACCAAGGCUUGACAUGUUCCUGACCGCCGUAGAGAUACGGUUUCCCCUUUGGGGCAGGUUCACAGGUGGUGCAUGGUUGUCGUCAGCUCGUGUCGUGAGAUGUUGGGUUAAGUCCCGCAACGAGCGCAACCCUCGUUCCAUGUUGCCAGCACGUAGUGGUGGGGACUCAUGGGAGACUGCCGGGGUCAACUCGGAGGAAGGUGGGGACGACGUCAAAUCAUCAUGCCCCUUAUGUCUUGGGCUUCACGCAUGCUACAAUGGCCGGUACAAUGGGUUGCGAUACUGUGAGGUGGAGCUAAUCCCAAAAAGCCGGUCUCAGUUCGGAUUGGGGUCUGCAACUCGACCCCAUGAAGUCGGAGUCGCUAGUAAUCGCAGAUCAGCAACGCUGCGGUGAAUACGUUCCCGGGCCU